This 445-nucleotide ribosomal RNA is filed under the name uncultured bacterium. RNAcentral describes it as "bacterial SSU rRNA". It matches the Rfam family "Bacterial small subunit ribosomal RNA", at positions 420 to 882 of the family's 1533-position model. The record is from RNAcentral.
GGAUUGUAAACUCCUUUUAUCAGGGACGAUAAUGACGGUACCUGAAGAAAAAGCUCCGGCUAACUACGUGCCAGCAGCCGCGGUAAUACGUAGGGAGCGAGCGUUGUCCGGAAUUACUGGGUGUAAAGGGAGCGUAGGCGGGAUAGCAAGUCAGAUGUGAAAACUAUGGGCUCAACCUGUAGAUUGCAUUUGAAACUGUUGUUCUUGAGUGAAGUAGAGGUAAGCGGAAUUCCUAGUGUAGCGGUGAAAUGCGUAGAUAUUAGGAGGAACAUCGGUGGCGAAGGCGGCUUACUGGGCUUUUACUGACGCUGAGGCUCGAAAGCGUGGGGAGCAAACAGGAUUAGAUACCCUGGUAGUCCACGCUGUAAACGAUGAUUACUAGGUGUGGGGGGACUGACCCCUUCCGUGYCGCAGUUAACACAAUAAGUAAUCCACCUGGGGAGUA